This is a long non-coding RNA of Poecilia latipinna (sailfin molly), 1446 nucleotides long. RefSeq lists it as uncharacterized. The transcript is spliced from 4 exons. Lineage: Eukaryota; Metazoa; Chordata; Actinopteri; Cyprinodontiformes; Poeciliidae. The record is from RefSeq and is a predicted model, not a curated record.
CCCAGCGGUUCCUGACCCAGAGACACGGUGUCCUCACAUGUUGGACUUCUGUUAUUUAGCAAAAUCUCAAACUUUGAGUCAUAGCUUUUAGUUUCCUGUUUUAUUUUGGUAAGCCUCAUAUUUCUUGUCUUUACUUCCUGUUUUCUGACUGUCAGAUCUUUGUCCAGGUUUAGUUCAUUUUAUGUUCAGUUUUCUACUUUCUGAUCUUCAUUUACUUUCCUUCCACCAGAUGUUCUGGUUCUGUCUUUUGGACCGGUUUCCACUGUAGCUACUUGAUGUUCUGUUCAUAUUUCCCUGAUCUUUGGAUGUUUUCCAGCUUUAGCUGCGUAGCAUCAACUGGGAAAUUCUGACUUCCUAGUCGGAAAAAUCAGCUGGAAUAGUUUCUGAAGUCGGAUUUUCCUGGAAAGCGUUGAGCAAGUCAGACCACCUCCAGUUCCGAUUUUUCAUAACUUCAUGAUUCAAUGUGGCCGCUCAGCAGCAGCAGGAAGCUGCGGUGGAAACAUGUUUAUCAUGUGAACAGAUUAAAAGUCAUGUUAGCUUAUAGCGACGUUCGUUAGCGGUGCUGCGGGUGUCGCCAUGUUGGAAUCGGACUCCUCCGGCUGCGUUAGCCGUUUCCUCUGCAGCUCUUGGCAGCAGUGAAGCUUCAGAACCUUCUUCGUCUGUUUUUCGGUUCGGCCCAGACUCCGUCUGCUCACUGCUAACUCUGGCUUCGGUUCCCUGAAGUUGGUCAGAUGUUUGGACUUACUAUUCUUGAUCUUUUUCCCCCCUCCAUGUCAUUUACAUAUUUUUGCACAUUUUCCAUGUUAUUUUUUAAAUUAAAGCAAGAGAUGAAGGUGGUAAUGAGCAGGAGGAAGAGUUCGGGUCAUCGUGAUCUUCCAGAGGAAUCAGAUUAAUCAGACAGGAGAACAGUCGGUUCCAGAGUCCGGCCGGUGAACCCUGAACUAGCGAGGUGUGUUUGAUUUAUUGACCGGGCCGGGCCUUCCUGAAGGUGCGUCUGCAGAUAAGGAGAUGCACUCAGAGCUGCAGGAAUGCGCGGCUGGUUGCGUAACUGCAGGGUCGCUCGGCGAUGUGAGAGCACUGAAGCCUCGUUAGUCGGCAUUAGAAGAGCUUCAUCCACCUUUGACCAGGUCAGAGUUCACGGGCUGGAGGUGCACACCUCAGGAGUCUCCGCUCUGCCAGCCUCCGAUGCCUGAGGACAUUCCUACUGUGAGCAGUAAUAGUGGAGAGACGGAUUCAUUUGGCUUCAGAUUAGGUCCUUCAUGUUGCUGUGAGUUUCAGAAGGAGAGUCUGGUUCCCUCAGACCGAAGAACCGAAAACUAAAACCUGAAACGACGUGGAGAGACGAGUUCUUACCUUCAGAGACGCAGCAGCUCCGUUAUGAUCCAGGACUGGACAGGCAUCAACAGGAAUUCCUCUCUGAGGUUCUGCGCUGGCUCCUGAUUGGCU